RNAcentral lists this ribosomal RNA (248 nucleotides) under uncultured bacterium. RNAcentral's name for it is "partial 16S ribosomal RNA". It matches the Rfam family "Bacterial small subunit ribosomal RNA", at positions 524 to 776 of the family's 1533-position model. The record is from RNAcentral.
UACGUAGGGUGCGAGCGUUGUCCGGAAUUAUUGGGCGUAAAGAGCUCGUAGGCGGUGUGUCGCGUCGGCCGUGAAAACCUGCAGCUUAACUGUGGCGUGCGGUCGAUACGGGCAUCACUGGAGUUCGGCAGGGAGACUGGAAUUCCUGGUGUAGCGGUGAAAUGCGUAGAUAUCGAGAGGAACACCUGCGGCGAAGGCGGUUGCUGGCGACACUGACGCUGAUGCGCGAAAGCCAGGGAGCGAACGGG